Molecule: ribosomal RNA, 228 nt
Filed under: Staphylococcus aureus
Lineage: Bacteria; Bacillati; Bacillota; Bacilli; Caryophanales; Staphylococcaceae
Description: partial 16S ribosomal RNA
Rfam family: Bacterial small subunit ribosomal RNA
Source: RNAcentral
GUCCAGACUCCUACGGGAGGCAGCAGUAGGGAAUCUUCCGCAAUGGGCGAAAGCCUGACGGAGCAACGCCGCGUGAGUGAUGAAGGUCUUCGGAUCGUAAAACUCUGUUAUUAGGGAAGAACAUAUGUGUAAGUAACUGUGCACAUCUUGACGGUACCUAAUCAGAAAGCCACGGCUAACUACGUGCCAGCAGCCGCGGUAAUACGUAGGUGGCAAGCGUUAUCCGGA